GUCAGAAUGGCCGAGUGGUCUAAGGCGCCAGACUCAAGUUCUGGUCCUCGCAUGAGGGCGUGGGUUCGAACCCCACUUCUGACA
RNAcentral lists this transfer RNA (84 nucleotides) under Varroa jacobsoni. Its description in RNAcentral is "tRNA-Leu". It matches the Rfam family "tRNA". Rfam says of the family: Transfer RNA (tRNA) molecules are approximately 80 nucleotides in length. Their secondary structure includes four short double-helical elements and three loops (D, anti-codon, and T loops). RNAcentral also lists the same sequence under 1 other name. The record is from RNAcentral. Lineage: Eukaryota; Metazoa; Arthropoda; Arachnida; Mesostigmata; Varroidae.